This 2787-nucleotide ribosomal RNA is filed under the name Escherichia coli. Its description in RNAcentral is "bacterial LSU rRNA". It matches the Rfam family "Bacterial large subunit ribosomal RNA". The record is from RNAcentral. RNAcentral also lists the same sequence under 1 other name. Lineage: Bacteria; Pseudomonadati; Pseudomonadota; Gammaproteobacteria; Enterobacterales; Enterobacteriaceae.
AGCGUACACGGUGGAUGCCCUGGCAGUCAGAGGCGAUGAAGGACGUGCUAAUCUGCGAUAAGCGUCGGUAAGGUGAUAUGAACCGUUAUAACCGGCGAUUUCCGAAUGGGGAAACCCAGUGUGAUUCGUCACACUAUCAUUAACUGAAUCCAUAGGUUAAUGAGGCGAACCGGGGGAACUGAAACAUCUAAGUACCCCGAGGAAAAGAAAUCAACCGAGAUUCCCCCAGUAGCGGCGAGCGAACGGGGAGGAGCCCAGAGCCUGAAUCAGUGUGUGUGUUAGUGGAAGCGUCUGGAAAGGCGUGCGAUACAGGGUGACAGCCCCGUACACAAAAAUGCACAUACUGUGAGCUCGAUGAGUAGGGCGGGACACGUGGUAUCCUGUCUGAAUAUGGGGGGACCAUCCUCCAAGGCUAAAUACUCCUGACUGACCGAUAGUGAACCAGUACCGUGAGGGAAAGGCGAAAAGAACCCCGGCGAGGGGAGUGAAAAAGAACCUGAAACCGUGUACGUACAAGCAGUGGGAGCCUCUUAAUGGGGUGACUGCGUACCUUUUGUAUAAUGGGUCAGCGACUUAUAUUCUGUAGCAAGGUUAACCGAAUAGGGGAGCCGAAGGGAAACCGAGUCUUAACUGGGCGUUAAGUUGCAGGGUAUAGACCCGAAACCCGGUGAUCUAGCCAUGGGCAGGUUGAAGGUUGGGUAACACUAACUGGAGGACCGAACCGACUAAUGUUGAAAAAUUAGCGGAUGACUUGUGGCUGGGGGUGAAAGGCCAAUCAAACCGGGAGAUAGCUGGUUCUCCCCGAAAGCUAUUUAGGUAGCGCCUCGUGAAUUCAUCUCCGGGGGUAGAGCACUGUUUCGGCAAGGGGGUCAUCCCGACUUACCAACCCGAUGCAAACUGCGAAUACCGGAGAAUGUUAUCACGGGAGACACACGGCGGGUGCUAACGUCCGUCGUGAAGAGGGAAACAACCCAGACCGCCAGCUAAGGUCCCAAAGUCAUGGUUAAGUGGGAAACGAUGUGGGAAGGCCCAGACAGCCAGGAUGUUGGCUUAGAAGCAGCCAUCAUUUAAAGAAAGCGUAAUAGCUCACUGGUCGAGUCGGCCUGCGCGGAAGAUGUAACGGGGCUAAACCAUGCACCGAAGCUGCGGCAGCGACACUAUGUGUUGUUGGGUAGGGGAGCGUUCUGUAAGCCUGUGAAGGUGUACUGUGAGGUAUGCUGGAGGUAUCAGAAGUGCGAAUGCUGACAUAAGUAACGAUAAAGCGGGUGAAAAGCCCGCUCGCCGGAAGACCAAGGGUUCCUGUCCAACGUUAAUCGGGGCAGGGUGAGUCGACCCCUAAGGCGAGGCCGAAAGGCGUAGUCGAUGGGAAACAGGUUAAUAUUCCUGUACUUGGUGUUACUGCGAAGGGGGGACGGAGAAGGCUAUGUUGGCCGGGCGACGGUUGUCCCGGUUUAAGCGUGUAGGCUGGUUUUCCAGGCAAAUCCGGAAAAUCAAGGCUGAGGCGUGAUGACGAGGCACUACGGUGCUGAAGCAACAAAUGCCCUGCUUCCAGGAAAAGCCUCUAAGCAUCAGGUAACAUCAAAUCGUACCCCAAACCGACACAGGUGGUCAGGUAGAGAAUACCAAGGCGCUUGAGAGAACUCGGGUGAAGGAACUAGGCAAAAUGGUGCCGUAACUUCGGGAGAAGGCACGCUGAUAUGUAGGUGAAGUCCCUCGCGGAUGGAGCUGAAAUCAGUCGAAGAUACCAGCUGGCUGCAACUGUUUAUUAAAAACACAGCACUGUGCAAACACGAAAGUGGACGUAUACGGUGUGACGCCUGCCCGGUGCCGGAAGGUUAAUUGAUGGGGUUAGCGGUAACGCGAAGCUCUUGAUCGAAGCCCCGGUAAACGGCGGCCGUAACUAUAACGGUCCUAAGGUAGCGAAAUUCCUUGUCGGGUAAGUUCCGACCUGCACGAAUGGCGUAAUGAUGGCCAGGCUGUCUCCACCCGAGACUCAGUGAAAUUGAACUCGCUGUGAAGAUGCAGUGUACCCGCGGCAAGACGGAAAGACCCCGUGAACCUUUACUAUAGCUUGACACUGAACAUUGAGCCUUGAUGUGUAGGAUAGGUGGGAGGCUUUGAAGUGUGGACGCCAGUCUGCAUGGAGCCGGCCUUGAAAUACCACCCUUUAAUGUUUGAUGUUCUAACGUUGGCCCCUGACCGGGGUUGCGGACAGUGUCUGGUGGGUAGUUUGACUGGGGCGGUCUCCUCCUAAAGAGUAACGGAGGAGCACGAAGGUUGGCUAAUCCUGGUCGGACAUCAGGAGGUUAGUGCAAUGGCAUAAGCCAGCUUGACUGCGAGCGUGACGGCGCGAGCAGGUGCGAAAGCAGGUCAUAGUGAUCCGGUGGUUCUGAAUGGAAGGGCCAUCGCUCAACGGAUAAAAGGUACUCCGGGGAUAACAGGCUGAUACCGCCCAAGAGUUCAUAUCGACGGCGGUGUUUGGCACCUCGAUGUCGGCUCAUCACAUCCUGGGGCUGAAGUAGGUCCCAAGGGUAUGGCUGUUCGCCAUUUAAAGUGGUACGCGAGCUGGGUUUAGAACGUCGUGAGACAGUUCGGUCCCUAUCUGCCGUGGGCGCUGGAGAACUGAGGGGGGCUGCUCCUAGUACGAGAGGACCGGAGUGGACGCAUCACUGGUGUUCGGGUUGUCAUGCCAAUGGCACUGCCCGGUAGCUAAAUGCGGAAGAGAUAAGUGCUGAAAGCAUCUAAGCACGAAACUUGCCCCGAGAUGAGUUCUCCCUGACUCCUUGA